This 1008-nucleotide non-coding RNA is filed under the name Cephus pygmeus. The record is from RNAcentral. Lineage: Eukaryota; Metazoa; Arthropoda; Insecta; Hymenoptera; Cephidae.
AUAUUAUUGAUAAUAAUAAUUAUUUUGAAAUUGAAUUGUUUAGUAUUAUUUUUAAUAUUUAUAAUUAAUUUUAAAUUACUUAUAUUGAUUUUUAUAUUAAUUAAUUUUAAGUUUUUUUUUAAUUAAUUAGUUUAUUUAUUUUUAUAAAGUUUAAUUCUGACUUUAGGAUUUAUUAUAAGUUUUAUUUAAUAUAUAAAUUUUUAUGUUAUUAUAUUAUUUUUUAAAUAGAAAUAAUUAUAUUUUAUUUAGUAUAUAAAAUUAUAUUUAAAUAAAAAUAAGUUUUUUUAUAGAAUUAUAUUUAGUUAAGAUGGAAUAAAUUUGUGCCAGCAUUCGCGGUUAGACAAAUUAAUCUGAGUAAAUUAUUAUUAAAUUUUUAGAUGCUUUUUAUUUUUAUUUUUAAUUAAUAAAUUAAGUUAAAUUAAGGUGAAAUUUUAUUAAUUUGAUAUAUUAAUUUGUAAUUAUUAUUUUAGUAUUCUUUGAAAAUUUUAUUAUAAACUAGGAUUAGAUACCCUAUUAUUUUAAUUGUAAAAUUUUUUUGUUUUUAUUUUAUAUGUUGUUUUUAUUUUUUUUGUUAUAUUUAUUAAAUUAGGUAGUAAUAGUUAUGAUCUUGAAACUUUAAGAAUUUGACGGUAAUUCAUUCAAUUUAGAGGAACUUGUUUUUUAAUUGAUAAUCCACGAUAUUAAUUACCUAUUUUAUUUGUUUGUAUACCGUCGUUUUAAAAAAAUUUUUUAAGGAUAAAUAAUUUUUAAAAUAUAAUUUAUUUUUAUAUAAAUUCAGAUCAAGGUGCAGCUAUUUAUUUAGGUUAAAAUGAGUUACAAUAAUUUUAAUUUAUACGGAUUUUAAGUAUUAAUAUUUAAAUUAAGGUGGAUUUAAAAGUAAAAUUAAAUAAUUAUUUAAUUUGAGAUUUGUUUUGAAUUAUGUACAUAUCGCACGUCGCUCUCGUUAUAAAAUGAGAUAAGUCGUAACAAAGUAAAAGUACUGGAAAGUGUUUUUAGAAUUAGUUUUAC